AUAUAGGUUUAUGUGGUUUAACUUUUGAAAAAGUGAUUCUAUUUAUGUAAUUUUGGUUCAAAAAAUUAUUUUUAAUUAAUAACUCUAGAGUGUUUUGUUCAGCCAAGAGAAAAAAAAAUAUUUUUGAGAUUGGAAAGUUUUCUGAAGUAAAUUUAUAAAUUUUAGAUUUUAAAUUUUAAAUUUUAAAAUUAACUUUUAACUUUAAAUUUUUAUUUUAA
Molecule: long non-coding RNA, 218 nt
Filed under: Ananas comosus (pineapple)
Lineage: Eukaryota; Viridiplantae; Streptophyta; Magnoliopsida; Poales; Bromeliaceae
Description: long non-coding RNA (ACOM_LNC004311)
Source: RNAcentral